This 479-nucleotide ribosomal RNA is filed under the name uncultured bacterium. RNAcentral describes it as "partial 16S ribosomal RNA". It matches the Rfam family "Bacterial small subunit ribosomal RNA", at positions 28 to 507 of the family's 1533-position model. The record is from RNAcentral.
GAUGAACGCUAGCGGGAGGCCUAACACAUGCAAGCCGAGCGGUAUUUGUUCUUCGGAACAGAGAGAGCGGCGCACGGGUGCGGGACACGUGUGCAACCUGCCUUUAUCUGGGGGAUAGCCUUUCGAAAGGAAGAUUAAUACCCCAUAAUAUAUUGAGUGGCAUCAUUUGAUAUUGAAAACUCCGGUGGAUAGAGAUGGGCACGCGCAAGAUUAGAUAGUUGGUGAGGUAACGGCUCACCAAGUCAAUGAUCUUUAGGGGGCCUGAGAGGGUGAUCCCCCACACUGGUACUGAGACACGGACCAGACUCCUACGGGAGGCAGCAGUGAGGAAUAUUGGACAAUGGGUUAGCGCCUGAUCCAGCCAUCCCGCGUGAAGGACGACGGCCCUAUGGGUUGUAAACUUCUUUUGUAUAGGGAUAAACCUACUCUCGUGAGAGUAGCUGAAGGUACUAUACGAAUAAGCACCGGCUAACUCCGUG